UCCUCCUUUCCGGUGCCAGGUUA
This 23-nucleotide non-coding RNA is filed under the name Arabidopsis thaliana (thale cress). The record is from RNAcentral. Lineage: Eukaryota; Viridiplantae; Streptophyta; Magnoliopsida; Brassicales; Brassicaceae.